GGCGUCUGUAGCUCAGUUGGUUAGAGCGCUGCACCGGAAUCGCAGGGUCGCAGGCUCGAUUCCUGCCAGGGCCC
RNAcentral lists this transfer RNA (74 nucleotides) under Paramuricea clavata. Its description in RNAcentral is "tRNA-Ser". It matches the Rfam family "tRNA". Rfam says of the family: Transfer RNA (tRNA) molecules are approximately 80 nucleotides in length. The record is from RNAcentral. Lineage: Eukaryota; Metazoa; Cnidaria; Anthozoa; Malacalcyonacea; Plexauridae.